Long non-coding RNA from Perca fluviatilis (European perch), 362 nucleotides. RefSeq lists it as uncharacterized. The transcript has 3 exons. NCBI's taxonomy places the organism in Eukaryota, Metazoa, Chordata, Actinopteri, Perciformes, Percidae. The record is from RefSeq and is a predicted model, not a curated record.
CUGCCAGCGUGGAACGCACGUCUCGCGCUCAUCCCGGAAGUAAGCUGUCCGGUUUCGGUCUGCUGAGUACAGAAAGAAGUCAGAGCAGUAAAUACGAAUCCAAUUCAACAGUUCAGCACGCUUUCCCGAAGCCUUCUGGAAGGGACGCCGACACGGUUCAUUACAACAGAUUCAGCAGACCCGGCCAGGCUGCCCGCUGUGGGCGCUGCACUCAAGAUGAUGGUGGACCGUACGUUGGCUCAAGUGGGCAGGAAUCUGAGUGACGCCAUGAGAAUCCUGGGAGACGGACAGAGAGAGCCGGAGGCAGGAGCAGAGAGAUGGCGCCUGAGCAGAGCCAGCAUCCCCGGACCCCUGCAGGGAGA